ACAUUUAUUAAUAUUAUACAAUGAGGACGUCAAAGUUUUCAAGAAUAAUUAUUGAAUUACAAACCAAAUCUUAAACUAGUUUAAAAUUACAAACCACAAUGUUCUAUAAUUUAAAAUACAUAUUUAAAAGUCCCGAAGAGUGUUUCCCAACGCAUCCUCACACUAAAUGUCUUCACUUUUACCUGAAACAUCAUCUACUCCCGUAUAACGACACGAGUUAUACGAUCAUUGUAGACACACAAGUAGGGUGAGCUAACCGAAUACAGAAAAACAUAAGUUACAGAUAAACCUACUUACGCACUUUGAAUGUUUAAUAAUAUUAUUAACGUAAACAUACUACCUUCACGUAUACUUCAGACACUACUCAUUUCUCAUCUGACUCUAAUCACUUCUCAUUUCACACGUAGCUAUUGGAUUUAUCUCGAUUUUUACGCAUUUGUUAAGUAUAUGCCAAAACCAGUCCCUCAUAUGGAUCGCCGAUAAGAGUCGUCCUACGCACGCCGCAUUGGACAUAUCUCCCUAAUUCUUCAAGGGCUUACGAGUAAAAACAUUGGUGAGUAACAUCCAUUCACCAAGCACAAUACUCAGCACAAGUCAUAAACUCUUGGCGAGAUAUUUGUACCCUCUUGAAAAAGGAAAAGUAACAGGACUCAAAUCCACCUAUCGCCUUACAUAGGCAAAAAGGAAAUCAUCCUUUUUAAAACCGAGAUAAAUAUAAAUCAUCCCAAUGAUACGAUAAGAUUAGAGAAUAAAAAAGGAUUAUCUAUUAGACUCAAAGAACUCAACAUCCAUUAACUUAAAUUAAGUCUAAAAAUAAAUUCAGAAUAACGUGUUGUCUACUUUGACCUUUGCUCAAUGUUUUACUCGUAAUUUUUCUCUACAAUAUUCCGACUGAAGAGAUUCUUGUUUUGUUGGAUUCUAAACUCAAAAAUCUUUUCUUGGACAUCAGACUCGUAAAAUAUUUUUCAUUACAAUUUUAAUAUUUAAAAUAUUCAUCACUCUUAACCUUUUUAAUUGAUGUGAUAUAAUUCUGGUUCAUUCAUAGACAUCAGAAAACUUAAAUUAGUAAAUACGAUGCAACUAUCAAUCAUAAUUUCAUCAUAGACAACAAAAAUAUCAAGUUUAUAUAUGAUAUAAUAAUACACUUCCAUUACGCUCAAAUACAUAAAUUUCACGUCCAAUAUAAUACAUUCAACACAAAAAGUAAUGGUAAGCUACCAUAAAAAAAAUAAUUUUAAUAUAAACGUUUUGGGAAAUCAAGAAGUUGAAUCUGGCAAAGCCGGUUAGACAUCUUCUUAUCCUUCUAGAUAGAUGUAAUAGAAAAAGGAUAUACACUCAAUAAUUCAUACAAACAUCAUAAAGUCCAUUCAUCCCCAAAAAUCAUACAAAUUAAAUAUAUCACAAAAUAAUUUAACUGACCAUAAUCUGUUUGAUAAGAAUUAGUUAAAAACACAUCGAGUAGACUUCCAGGAAAGAGAGGUGCGUCACAAUGGACAACUUAAGUACCAGGUCUUUCCUUAGCCAAAGUGUUCCUCAACAUGUUAUUAACAAAUUUCUUAUUCACAGAUUCAAAACAACAACAUAAAAUAUUAUCACAGAAAUUCAAAUAGUUAUACAACAAGCACAUAGGUUUUUCAUUAACAGUAAUUGCACAAAAUUUCAAGACAUAAAUAGUUAUAAAAAAAUAUUUUAUAAUAUAAAAACUUUGAAAGGUUAGCUCCCCUUACCUCUAUUUCAGACUCAAUUUCUUGUUCCGAAUUGUUCUCCCGAAAACUCUCCAAAACCUCUACUCUUCUAAAAUUUUCUUCCUAACUCUUUCUUCUCAAGAUUUCUCACUUGAUUUUUCC
RNAcentral lists this long non-coding RNA (1847 nucleotides) under Vigna radiata. Its description in RNAcentral is "long non-coding RNA (VRAD_LNC005529)". The record is from RNAcentral. Lineage: Eukaryota; Viridiplantae; Streptophyta; Magnoliopsida; Fabales; Fabaceae.